CCGGAGUGGACGAACCUCUGGUGUUCGGGUUGUGUCGCCAGACGCAUUGCCCGGUAGCUAAGUUCGGAAUCGAUAACCGCUGAAAGCAUCUAAGCGGGAAGCGAGCCCUGAGAUGAGUCUUCCCUGACAGUUUAACUGUCCUAAAGGGUUGUUCGAGACUAGAACGUUGAUAGGCAGGGUGUGUAAGCGUUGUGAGGCGUUGAGCUAACCUGUACUAAUUGCCCGUGAGGCUUAACCAUACAACACCCAAGGGGUUUUGUA
Molecule: ribosomal RNA, 261 nt
Filed under: Vibrio fluvialis
Lineage: Bacteria; Pseudomonadati; Pseudomonadota; Gammaproteobacteria; Vibrionales; Vibrionaceae
Description: partial 23S ribosomal RNA
Rfam family: Bacterial large subunit ribosomal RNA
Source: RNAcentral